AUCGCUUCUCGGCCUUUUGGCUAAGAUCAAGUGUAGUAUCUGUUCUUAUCAGUUACAAGGCGAGAAGCAAUGCAGGAUGGCGGCGGCGUCGGCCAAUUUUCAUGAGAGAAAUACAUGGAUGCAAGGUACAAGAAUACUUUGAGAUUCGAGUUGAUG
Maylandia zebra (zebra mbuna) is the source of this 156-nucleotide small nuclear RNA. Its record names the gene U2. It matches the Rfam family "U2 spliceosomal RNA". Rfam says of the family: U2 is a small nuclear RNA (snRNA) component of the spliceosome (involved in pre-mRNA splicing). Complementary binding between U2 snRNA (in an area lying towards the 5' end but 3' to hairpin I) and the branchpoint sequence (BPS) of the intron results the bulging out of an unpaired adenosine, on the BPS, which initiates a nucleophilic attack at the intronic 5' splice site, thus starting the first of two transesterification reactions that mediate splicing. Lineage: Eukaryota; Metazoa; Chordata; Actinopteri; Cichliformes; Cichlidae. The record is from Ensembl.